GGGUUUGUGGCUCAGUGGUAGAGUACUUGCCUAGCAUGUGAGAGAUACUGGAUUUGAUUCUCAGCAUCCCA
This 71-nucleotide transfer RNA is filed under the name Marmota monax (woodchuck). It matches the Rfam family "tRNA". From Rfam's summary of the family: Transfer RNA (tRNA) molecules are approximately 80 nucleotides in length. Their secondary structure includes four short double-helical elements and three loops (D, anti-codon, and T loops). The record is from Rfam by way of RNAcentral. Lineage: Eukaryota; Metazoa; Chordata; Mammalia; Rodentia; Sciuridae.